UAGAAAGAGUUGGCUCAACUCAA
This 23-nucleotide non-coding RNA is filed under the name Rattus norvegicus (Norway rat). The record is from RNAcentral. Lineage: Eukaryota; Metazoa; Chordata; Mammalia; Rodentia; Muridae.